RNAcentral lists this transfer RNA (62 nucleotides) under Monodelphis domestica (gray short-tailed opossum). It matches the Rfam family "tRNA", at positions 6 to 65 of the family's 71-position model. Rfam says of the family: Transfer RNA (tRNA) molecules are approximately 80 nucleotides in length. Their secondary structure includes four short double-helical elements and three loops (D, anti-codon, and T loops). Further hydrogen bonds mediate the characteristic L-shaped molecular structure. tRNAs have two regions of fundamental functional importance: the anti-codon, which is responsible for specific mRNA codon recognition, and the 3' end, to which the tRNAs corresponding amino acid is attached (by aminoacyl-tRNA synthetases). tRNAs cope with the degeneracy of the genetic code in two manners: having more than one tRNA (with a specific anti-codon) for a particular amino acid; and 'wobble' base-pairing, i.e. permitting non-standard base-pairing at the 3rd anti-codon position. The record is from Rfam by way of RNAcentral. Lineage: Eukaryota; Metazoa; Chordata; Mammalia; Didelphimorphia; Didelphidae.
UUUGGCACAGUAGGUAGUGCAUCAGUCUCAAAAGCUGAAAGUCUGGAGUUCUGAUCUCAGAA